UACAGAGACCUCGAGCGUUAUCCGGAUUUAUUGGGCGUAAAGAGCAUGUAGGCGGAUAUAUUAGUCAGAUGUCAAAUCUUCGAGCUCAACUCGAAAACUGCAUUUGAAACGGUAUAUCUUGAGGAAGUGAGAGAUCGAUGGAACGUAUGGUGUAGCAGUGAAAUGCGUUGAUAUCAUACGGAACACCAAAGGCGAAGGCAUUCGAUUGGCACUUUUCUGACGCUGAGAUGCGAAAGCGUGGGUAGCGAAUGGG
This 253-nucleotide ribosomal RNA is filed under the name uncultured bacterium. RNAcentral describes it as "partial 16S ribosomal RNA". It matches the Rfam family "Bacterial small subunit ribosomal RNA", at positions 524 to 776 of the family's 1533-position model. The record is from RNAcentral.